Non-coding RNA from Annulohypoxylon bovei var. microspora, 96 nucleotides. The record is from the annotation of a GenBank genome assembly. NCBI's taxonomy places the organism in Eukaryota, Fungi, Ascomycota, Sordariomycetes, Xylariales, Hypoxylaceae.
UCUCGAUUGGUCUAGUGGUCAGGAUACCUGCUUGUCAUCUUUGUUUGUCAUCGAGCAAGCACGCAGGUGGCCGGGGUUCGAUUCCCCGAUCGAGAG